UACAUGGGGUGCAAACGUUGCUCGGAAUUAUUGGGCGUAAAGCGCGCGUAGGCGGUUACUUAAGUCGGAUGUGAAAGCCCUCGGCUUAACUGAGGAAGUGCACCCGAAACUGAGUAGCUAGAGUACGAAAGAGGGUCGCGGAAUUCCCGGUGUAGAGGUGAAAUUCGUAGAUAUCGGGGGGAACACCGGUGGCGAAGGCGGCGACCUGGGUCGAGACUGACGCUGAGGCGCGAAAGCGUGGGUAGCAAACAGG
RNAcentral lists this ribosomal RNA (253 nucleotides) under uncultured bacterium. RNAcentral describes it as "partial 16S ribosomal RNA". It matches the Rfam family "Bacterial small subunit ribosomal RNA", at positions 524 to 776 of the family's 1533-position model. The record is from RNAcentral.